UACGUAGGGUGCAAGCGUUGUCCGGAAUUAUUGGGCGUAAAGAGCUCGUAGGCGGUUUGUCGCGUCUGCUGUGAAAACUCGGGGCUUAACUCCGGGCCUGCAGUGGGUACGGGCAGACUAGAGUGUGGUAGGGGAGACUGGAAUUCCUGGUGUAGCGGUGAAAUGCGCAGAUAUCAGGAGGAACACCGAUGGCGAAGGCGGAUCUCUGGGCCUGUCCUGACGCUCAGGCGCGAAAGCUAGGGGAGCGAACAGG
Molecule: ribosomal RNA, 253 nt
Filed under: uncultured bacterium
Lineage: Bacteria
Description: partial 16S ribosomal RNA
Rfam family: Bacterial small subunit ribosomal RNA
Source: RNAcentral